Felis catus (domestic cat) is the source of this 685-nucleotide long non-coding RNA. RefSeq lists it as uncharacterized. NCBI's taxonomy places the organism in Eukaryota, Metazoa, Chordata, Mammalia, Carnivora, Felidae. The record is from RefSeq and is a predicted model, not a curated record. The transcript has 3 exons.
GUCACAGUGUCUUCAUGAGUAGAAUACUUUCAGCCCUGGUUUUCUGGAAGUCCUUAAUUUUGCUAUAGGGAAAAGGCACUUGUUCAGCUCAACAUGGCCCCCAUGUCAAACACUGAGCGCUGAAUUGCUUCAAGAUGCAAACCGCAUAGCUGAACUGUACCAAGAGCGCCAGACUCGAUUCUCCACGAUGCACCUACUGACCCAGCUUUGGAGUCCUUCUGCUCUAGGCAGACCCUGUCAAGUAACUGGAACUGUCAUGCAAAUUGAAGCAUAUGUGCCAUUCCUGGCAUUAACUGUAAAGUCAGGGCGGGACUUCCUUUCACUUAUUCAACAAUGGAGGCACCAGGAACUACCUGCAAAGGGCACUGCAGAGGGAAUUUGUGCUUAUGCGAGGAUGAGUCAGGUGACCGCUAAGACCCCUUGAAGAGUCCGUGGUUCAGAUGACGGUUCUCCCUGCUCCAAGCAUGCGGCCACCCAAGACACAGAGAGAAAAAUCCAGCCCAGCUGGAUACGUGUGAACUAAAUCUUUCUGAAAACGUCUCCUAUGCAUUUCUUUCCCCCUUAUCUUUAUUGGCCUCCUGAAAUGCCUUAUCUGCAAAGGCAUGAUUCUGUCCUCAAUCUCUGUCUAUGAACACAAUUACCAUUUCUGCUUCUUCCACAAGGUAAAAAUGAAUCAUGAAACGCA